UACGUAGGUGGCAAGCGUUGUCCGGAAUUAUUGGGCGUAAAGCGCGCGCAGGCGGCCUUUUAAGUCUGAUGUGAAAGCCCACGGCUCAACCGUGGAAGGUCAUUGGAAACUGAAAGGCUUGAGUACAGAAGAGGAAAGCGGAAUUCCACGUGUAGCGGUGAAAUGCGUAGAGAUUUGGAGGAACACCAGUGGCGAAGGCGACUGUCUGGUCUGUAACUGACACUGAGGCGCGAAAGCGUGGGGAGCAAACAGG
This 253-nucleotide ribosomal RNA is filed under the name uncultured bacterium. RNAcentral describes it as "partial 16S ribosomal RNA". It matches the Rfam family "Bacterial small subunit ribosomal RNA", at positions 524 to 776 of the family's 1533-position model. The record is from RNAcentral.